ACGGGAGGCAGCAGUGAGGAAUAUUGGUCAAUGGACGGAAGUCUGAACCAGCCAAGUCGCGUGAAGGAUGAAGGUAUUAUGUAUUGUAAACUUCUUUAGCAGUGGAGUAAUAAGGGGAUCGCGAUCCCUGAUGCAAGUACACUGAGAAUAAGGAUCGGCUAACUCCGUGCCAGCAGCCGCGGUAAUACGGAGGAUCCGAGCGUUAUCCGGAUUUAUUGGGUUUAAAGGGAGCGCAGGCGGAGAUGUAAGCCAGCCGUCAAAUCGUGGUGCUCAACGCCAUCCAGCGGUUGGAACUGCAUCCCUUGAGUGCACUAGAGGAAGGUGGAAUUCGUGGUGUAGCGGUGAAAUGCAUAGAUAUCACGAAGAACUCCGAUUGCGAAGGCAGCCUUCUGGGGUGUUACUGACGCUCAUGCUCGAAGGUGCGGGUAUCAAACAGGAUUAGAUACCCUGGUA
This 453-nucleotide ribosomal RNA is filed under the name uncultured Bacteroides sp. Its description in RNAcentral is "partial 16S ribosomal RNA". It matches the Rfam family "Bacterial small subunit ribosomal RNA", at positions 341 to 792 of the family's 1533-position model. Lineage: Bacteria; Pseudomonadati; Bacteroidota; Bacteroidia; Bacteroidales; Bacteroidaceae. The record is from RNAcentral.